CUGGCUCAGGAUGAACGCUGGCGGCGUGCUUAACACAUGCAAGUCGAACGGAGUAUAUUUAAAAGCUUGCUUUGUAUAUACUUAGUGGCGGACGGGUGAGUAACGCGUGGGUAACCUGCCUUAUACCGGGGGACAACAGCUGGAAACGGCUGCUAAUACCGCAUAAGCGCACAGAUAGGCAUCUAUCAGUGUGAAAAACUCCGGUGGUAUAAGAUGGACCCGCGUCUGAUUAGCCAGUUGGCGGUGUAACGGACCACCAAAGCGACGAUCAGUAGCCGGCCUGAGAGGGCAAACGGCCACAUUGGGACUGAGACACGGCCCAAACUCCUACGGGAGGCAGCAGUGGGGAAUAUUGCACAAUGGAGGAAACUCUGAUGCAAGCGACGCCGCGUGAGUGAAGAAGUAUCUCGGUAUGUAAAGCUCUAUCAGCAGGAAAGAAAAUGACGGUACCUGACUAAGAAGCCCCGGCUAACUACGUGCCAGCCGCCGC
RNAcentral lists this ribosomal RNA (490 nucleotides) under uncultured bacterium. RNAcentral's name for it is "bacterial SSU rRNA". It matches the Rfam family "Bacterial small subunit ribosomal RNA", at positions 19 to 518 of the family's 1533-position model. The record is from RNAcentral.